This is a non-coding RNA of Phascolarctos cinereus (koala), 115 nucleotides long. Lineage: Eukaryota; Metazoa; Chordata; Mammalia; Diprotodontia; Phascolarctidae. The record is from RefSeq and is a predicted model, not a curated record.
AGGACCCAGCACCAAUGACUGCAACUCUCUUGACCAUGGUCUUCUAUAAAGUGCUUAGUAUAGUGUCUGGUGCUCAAUGAAAGCCUGUUUCUCUUCACUCUCACCUGGGAUACAG